RNAcentral lists this transfer RNA (34 nucleotides) under Salvia sp. 3 MS-2018. RNAcentral describes it as "partial tRNA-His". Lineage: Eukaryota; Viridiplantae; Streptophyta; Magnoliopsida; Lamiales; Lamiaceae. The record is from RNAcentral.
GCGGAUGUAGCCAAGUGGAUCAAGGCAGUGAAUU